This 951-nucleotide ribosomal RNA is filed under the name Bacillus sp. (in: firmicutes). Its description in RNAcentral is "bacterial SSU rRNA". It matches the Rfam family "Bacterial small subunit ribosomal RNA", at positions 67 to 1008 of the family's 1533-position model. Lineage: Bacteria; Bacillati; Bacillota; Bacilli; Caryophanales; Bacillaceae. The record is from RNAcentral.
CGGACAGAUGGGAGCUUGCUCCCUGAUGUUAGCGGCGGACGGGUGAGUAACACGUGGGUAACCUGCCUGUAAGACUGGGAUAACUCCGGGAAACCGGGGCUAAUACCGGAUGGUUGUUUGAACCGCAUGGUUCAAACAUAAAAGGUGGCUUCGGCUACCACUUACAGAUGGACCCGCGGCGCAUUAGCUAGUUGGUGAGGUAACGGCUCACCAAGGCAACGAUGCGUAGCCGACCUGAGAGGGUGAUCGGCCACACUGGGACUGAGACACGGCCCAGACUCCUACGGGAGGCAGCAGUAGGGAAUCUUCCGCAAUGGACGAAAGUCUGACGGAGCAACGCCGCGUGAGUGAUGAAGGUUUUCGGAUCGUAAAGCUCUGUUGUUAGGGAAGAACAAGUACCGUUCGAAUAGGGCGGUACCUUGACGGUACCUAACCAGAAAGCCACGGCUAACUACGUGCCAGCAGCCGCGGUAAUACGUAGGUGGCAAGCGUUGUCCGGAAUUAUUGGGCGUAAAGGGCUCGCAGGCGGUUUCUUAAGUCUGAUGUGAAAGCCCCCGGCUCAACCGGGGAGGGUCAUUGGAAACUGGGGAACUUGAGUGCAGAAGAGGAGAGUGGAAUUCCACGUGUAGCGGUGAAAUGCGUAGAGAUGUGGAGGAACACCAGUGGCGAAGGCGACUCUCUGGUCUGUAACUGACGCUGAGGAGCGAAAGCGUGGGGAGCGAACAGGAUUAGAUACCCUGGUAGUCCACGCCGUAACGAUGAGUGCUAAGUGUUAGGGGGGUUUCCGCCCCUUAGUGCUGCAGCUCACGCAUAAGCACUCCGCCGGGGAGUACGGUCGCAGACUGAACUCAAGGAAUUGACGGGGGCCCGCACAGGGUGGAGCAUGUGGUUUAAUUCGAAGCAACGCGAGAACCUUACCACGUCUUGACAUCCUCUGACAUCCUAGAGAUA